RNAcentral lists this ribosomal RNA (492 nucleotides) under uncultured bacterium. Its description in RNAcentral is "partial 16S ribosomal RNA". It matches the Rfam family "Bacterial small subunit ribosomal RNA", at positions 29 to 507 of the family's 1533-position model. The record is from RNAcentral.
AGUGAACGCUGGCGGUAGGCCUAACACAUGCAAGUCGAACGGCAGCACAGUAAGAGCUUGCUCUUACGGGUGGCGAGUGGCGGACGGGUGAGGAAUACAUCGGAAUCUACUUUUUCGUGGGGGAUAACGUAGGGAAACUUACGCUAAUACCGCAUACGACCUACGGGUGAAAUCAGGGGAUCUUCGGCCCUUGCGCGAGUGAAUGAGCCGAUGUCGGAUUAGCUAGUUGGCGGGGUAAAGGCCCACCAAGGCGACGAUCCGUAGCUGGUCUGAGAGGAUGAUCAGCCACACUGGAACUGAGACACGGUCCAGACUCCUACGGGAGGCAGCAGUGGGGAAUAUUGGACAAUGGGCGCAAGCCUGAUCCAGCCAUACCGCGUGGGUGAAGAAGGCCUUCGGGUUGUAAAGCCCUUUUGUUGGGAAAGAAAAGCAGCAGGUUAAUACCCCGCUGUUCUGACGGUACCCAAAGAAUAAGCACCGGCUAACUUCGUG